Molecule: ribosomal RNA, 384 nt
Filed under: uncultured bacterium
Lineage: Bacteria
Description: bacterial SSU rRNA
Rfam family: Bacterial small subunit ribosomal RNA
Source: RNAcentral
AACGAACGCUAGCGGCAUGCCUUACACAUGCAAGUCGAACGGCAGCGGACCUUCGGGUGCCGGCGAGUGGCGAACGGGUGAGUAAUAUAUCGGAACGUACCUUUCAGUGGGGGAUAACGUAGCGAAAGUUACGCUAAUACCGCAUAUUCUGUGAGCAGGAAAGCAGGGGAUCGCAAGACCUUGCGCUGAUUGAGCGGCCGAUAUCAGAUUAGCUAGUUGGUGAGGUAAAGGCUCACCAAGGCGACGAUCUGUAGCGGGUCUGAGAGGAUGAUCCGCCACACUGGAACUGAGACACGGCCCAGACUCCUACGGGAGGCAGCAGUGGGGAAUUUUGGACAAUGGGCGCAAGCCUGAUCCAGCCAUGCCGCGUGAGUGAAGAAGGCC